Molecule: ribosomal RNA, 1234 nt
Filed under: metagenome
Description: bacterial LSU rRNA
Rfam family: Bacterial large subunit ribosomal RNA
Source: RNAcentral
UGAACUAGGCAAAAUAGUACCGUAACUUCGGGAGAAGGUACGCUGUUGAGGGUUAAGUAUUUACUACGUCAGCCCUUGGCAGCCUCAGUAACCAGGCCGCUGCAACUGUUUAUUAAAAACACAGCACUCUGCAAACACGAAAGUGGACGUAUAGGGUGUGAUGCCUGCCCGGUGCCGGAAGGUUAAUUGAUGGGGUUAGCGAAAGCGAAGCUCUUGAUCGAAGCCCCGGUAAACGGCGGCCGUAACAAUAACGGUCCUAAGGUAGCGAAAUUCCUUGUCGGGUAAGUUCCGACCUGCACGAAUGGCAUAAUGAUGGCGGCGCUGUCUCCACCAGAGACUCAGUGAAAUCGAAAUCGCGGUGAAGAUGCCGUGUACCCGUGGCUAGACGGAAAGACCCCGUGAACCUUUACUGCAGCUUUGCACUGGACUUUGACCUUACUUGUGUAGGAUAGCUGGGAGGCUUUGAAGUGCGGACGCCAGUUCGCGUGGAGCCAAUCUUGAAAUACCAGCCUGGUAAUGUCGAGGUUCUAACCAAGGUCCGUAAUCCGGAUCUGGGACAGUGUAUGGUGGGUAGUUUGACUGGGGCGGUCUCCUCCUAAAGAGUAACGGAGGAGUACGAAGGUGCGCUCAGCGUGGUCGGAAAUCACGCACUGAGUAUAAAGGCAAAAGCGCGCUUAACUGCGAGGCCGACAAGCCGAGCAGGUACGAAAGUAGGUCUUAGUGAUCCGGUGGUUCUGUAUGGAAGGGCCAUCGCUCAACGGAUAAAAGGUACUCUGGGGAUAACAGGCUGAUACCGCCCAAGAGUUCAUAUCGACGGCGGUGUUUGGCACCUCGAUGUCGGCUCAUCUCAUCCUGGGGCUGAAGCAGGUCCCAAGGGUAUGGCUGUUCGCCAUUUAAAGAGGUACGCGAGCUGGGUUUAGAACGUCGUGAGACAGUUCGGUCCCUAUCUACCAUGGGCGUUGGAGACUUGAGAGGAUCUGCUUCUAGUACGAGAGGACCGAAGUGGACAUACCUCUGGUGUUCCGGUUGUCUCGCCAGUGGCACUGCCGGGUAGCUAUGUAUGGAAGGGAUAACCGCUGAAAGCAUCUAAGCGGGAAGCCCACCUCAAGAUAAGGUCUCCCUGGGAACUUGAUUCCCCUGAAGGGCCGUCGGAGACUACGACGUUGAUAGGUUCGGUGUGGAAGCGCGGCGACGCGUGCAGCUAACGAAUACUAAUUGCCCGUGAGGCUUGACU